Molecule: ribosomal RNA, 433 nt
Filed under: uncultured bacterium
Lineage: Bacteria
Description: bacterial SSU rRNA
Rfam family: Bacterial small subunit ribosomal RNA
Source: RNAcentral
AACGAACGCUGGCGGCAGGCCUAACACAUGCAAGUCGAGCGAUCCUUUCGGGGAUAGCGGCGGACGGGUGAGUAACGCGUGGGAACGUACCCUUUGCUACGGAAUAGCCCCGGGAAACUGGGAGUAAUACCGUAUGUGCCCUCUGGGGGAAAGAUUUAUCGGCAAAGGAUCGGCCCGCAUUGGAUUAGGUAGUUGGUGGGGUAAUGGCCUACCAAGCCGACGAUCCAUAGCUGGUUUGAGAGGAUGAUCAGCCACACUGGGACUGAGACACGGCCCAGACUCCUACGGGAGGCAGCAGUGGGGAAUCUUAGACAAUGGGGGCAACCCUGAUCUAGCCAUGCCGCGUGAGUGAUGAAGGCCCUAGGGUUGUAAAGCUCUUUCAGCUGGGAAGAUAAUGACGGUACCAGCAGAAGAAGCCCCGGCUAACUCCGUG